Molecule: long non-coding RNA, 1142 nt
Organism: Diabrotica virgifera virgifera (western corn rootworm)
Lineage: Eukaryota; Metazoa; Arthropoda; Insecta; Coleoptera; Chrysomelidae
Exons: 3
Source: RefSeq, a predicted model, not a curated record
AAAUAGGCAAUCCAAACCACGUGACCUCUGGUUGGCACACAAACUAAAGAAGAGGUUAUGUUUGUGUCUAUUUUUCAAUGAUUUUUCAUUGUUUAUCGUCGUAUUUUGGAUUCAUUUGGAUUUCGUUUCCUGUUUUUGUGAACUUUAUAAACUUUACCACAAUGCGAACUGAUUAUUUAAGGAAGGAAAUUAUUAUUGGAAACUCCAGAUGUUGCGAGAAAGAUAUUUAUUGAAGCUGAAAAUAAUUGGGGAUUUAGAUCCAUACGGAAUUCAGUCAGAAUUGGAUUUUACAGUAAAGUGCAGUCCAUCAAGUUACUAUUAUAGAUAUGUAUUUAUACAGAUCUGGUGGAGUCUCACAGUUUCUACUCUAAGCAGCAGAUGAAAGCAUACAAAAGCCUUCAGGCACAUAAAUAUUUUACAGCUGGAUUUGUUUUGAAUGGAGUAAAAAUUGUUAAUGAUUUCCUGAUUUCCAUAUUAUUGUUGGAAAGGUGAAGCAUUUCCAAAAAGCUAAUGCUAAACGACUAAAUGCUUGGGUGGGGUGAUAGCCAGUUCUGAUGACAUAGCAAAUGCACAUUGUAUGCGUAUGGCCGGUAAUAGUGAAGUCUGCAGCCAUAUUGCAGCAAUCCUAUUUUUAGCUGAGUAUGCCCAGAGCAAGACAGACGAAGAAGAACCCAAUGCAUGUACAUAUGUUACAGCUACAUGGUUUGGAGAUAGCAACAUAUGCAUUCUCUGAUGAAAAACUAAUGAGUUUUGAAACUGUUCGGUCAGAGUGCUUGUUGCGCUCACUAAACGAACUGUAAUAUAAGAAGUCUUUGGCAUUGUGUUGCAGCGAUAUGAAAAUGGUUAUUCAUUUUUAAUUAUAAUGUACUUCUUCAUCAUGAGUAAUUGAAUGGUGGGCUACAACAACAUUGUAAGCGACAGAUUGGGUCAAAGUGAGGUUUUAAUGCAAUAUUAUUGUAUAUCCAAUGACCAAUGCGAGCAUCUUUCAAUCAGGCUAAAAACAUUUUACCUUCCCCGAGUUUUUCGUACCGCAAUAUUGGUAUCCGUAUUGUCAUAAAUGACUUGUCAAUAAGUUUUUUCCAUCUCCUGCAUAAUCUUAAUUCUGUCGCUUACAACAUUGUUGUAGCCCACCAUUCAAUUAU